Molecule: ribosomal RNA, 427 nt
Filed under: uncultured bacterium
Lineage: Bacteria
Description: partial 16S ribosomal RNA
Rfam family: Bacterial small subunit ribosomal RNA
Source: RNAcentral
UGGGGAAUAUUGCACAAUGGGCGCAAGCCUGAUGCAGCCAUGCCGCGUGUGUGAAGAAGGCCUUCGGGUUGUAAAGCAUUUUCAGCGAGGAGGAAGGGUAGUGUGUUAAUAGCACAUUGCAUUGACGUUACUCGCAGAAGAAGCACCGGCUAACUCCGUGCCAGCAGCCGCGGUAAUACGGAGGGUGCAAGCGUUAAUCGGAAUUACUGGGCGUAAAGCGCACGCAGGCGGUUUGUUAAGUCAGAUGUGAAAUCCCCGCGCUUAACGUGGGAACUGCAUUUGAAACUGGCAAGCUAGAGUCUUGUAGAGGGGGGUAGAAUUCCAGGUGUAGCGGUGAAAUGCGUAGAGAUCUGGAGGAAUACCGGUGGCGAAGGCGGCCCCCUGGACAAAGACUGACGCUCAGGUGCGAAAGCGUGGGGAGCAAACA